UACGGGGGGAGCAAGCGUUGUUCGGAUUUACUGGGCGUAAAGGGCGCGUAGGCGGUCGUGACAAGUCACUUGUGAAAUCUCCGGGCUUAACUCGGAACGGUCAAGUGAUACUGUCGGACUAGAGUACAGAAGGGGCAACUGGAAUUCUCGGUGUAGCGGUGAAAUGCGUAGAUAUCGCUUGGAACGCCGACGGUGAAAACAGCUCGCUGGGGGUGUGCUGACGCUGAGACACGAAAGCCAGGGGAGCGAACGGG
This 254-nucleotide ribosomal RNA is filed under the name uncultured bacterium. RNAcentral describes it as "partial 16S ribosomal RNA". It matches the Rfam family "Bacterial small subunit ribosomal RNA", at positions 524 to 776 of the family's 1533-position model. The record is from RNAcentral.